GGGGCGUUUGCUCAGUUGGUAGAGCAGUUGACUUUUAAUCAAUUGGUCGCAGGUUCGAAUCCUGCACGACCCACCA
This 76-nucleotide transfer RNA is filed under the name Escherichia coli. RNAcentral's name for it is "tRNA-Lys". It matches the Rfam family "tRNA". Rfam says of the family: Transfer RNA (tRNA) molecules are approximately 80 nucleotides in length. Their secondary structure includes four short double-helical elements and three loops (D, anti-codon, and T loops). Further hydrogen bonds mediate the characteristic L-shaped molecular structure. tRNAs have two regions of fundamental functional importance: the anti-codon, which is responsible for specific mRNA codon recognition, and the 3' end, to which the tRNAs corresponding amino acid is attached (by aminoacyl-tRNA synthetases). tRNAs cope with the degeneracy of the genetic code in two manners: having more than one tRNA (with a specific anti-codon) for a particular amino acid; and 'wobble' base-pairing, i.e. permitting non-standard base-pairing at the 3rd anti-codon position. The record is from RNAcentral. Lineage: Bacteria; Pseudomonadati; Pseudomonadota; Gammaproteobacteria; Enterobacterales; Enterobacteriaceae.